RNAcentral lists this ribosomal RNA (484 nucleotides) under uncultured bacterium. Its description in RNAcentral is "partial 16S ribosomal RNA". It matches the Rfam family "Bacterial small subunit ribosomal RNA", at positions 29 to 523 of the family's 1533-position model. The record is from RNAcentral.
AGUGAACGCUGGCGGCGUGCUUAACACAUGCAAGUCGAACGAGAACGGAUUAUAGCUUGCUAUAAUUGUCAGCUAAGUGGCGCACGGGUGAGUAAUGUAUAGGUAAUAUGCCUCUUACUAAGGGAUAACAAAUGGAAACGUUUGCUAAUACCUUAUACUCCUUAUUAACAGAAGUUAAUAAGGGAAAGAUUUAUUGGUAAGAGAUUAGCCUGUAUUGUAUCAGUUAGUUGGUGGGGUAAUGGCUUACCAAGACUAUGACACAUAACUGGUGUGGGAGGAUGAUCAGUCACACUGGAACUGAGACGCGGUGCAGACUCCUACGGGAGGCAGCAGUGGGGGAUAUUGCACAAUGGACGGAAGUCUGAUGCAGCAACGCCGCGUGGAGGAUGACACAUUUCGGUGCGUAAACUCCUUUUAUAUGAGAAGAUAAUGACGGUAUUAUAUGAAUAAGCACCGGCUAACUCCGUGCCAGCAGCCGCCGUAA